This 433-nucleotide ribosomal RNA is filed under the name uncultured bacterium. Its description in RNAcentral is "partial 16S ribosomal RNA". It matches the Rfam family "Bacterial small subunit ribosomal RNA", at positions 29 to 507 of the family's 1533-position model. The record is from RNAcentral.
AACGAACGCUGGCGGCAUGCUUAACACAUGCAAGUCGAACGAGACCUCCCGGUCUAGUGGCGCACGGGUGCGUAACGCGUGGGAACCUGCCCUUAGGUUCGGAAUAAUUCCCCUAAAGGGGUGCUAAUACCGCUUAAUCUCAUCGGGCCAAAGAUCUAUCGGCUUUGGAUGGGCCCGCGUUGGUUUAGCUAGUUGGUAGGGCAAACGCCUGCCAAGGCGAUGAUCCAUAGCUGGUCGGAGAGGAUGAUCAGCCACACUGGGACUGAGACACGGCCCAGACUGCUACGGGAGGCAGCGGUGGGGAAUAUUGGGGAAUGGGCGAUAGCCUGAGACAGCAAUGCGGGGUGAGUGAUGAAGGGCUUAGGGUUGUAAAGCUCUUUUGCCCGGGAUGAUAAUGACGGUACCGGGAGAAUAAGCACCGGCUAACUCCGUG